Molecule: ribosomal RNA, 207 nt
Filed under: uncultured bacterium
Lineage: Bacteria
Description: partial 16S ribosomal RNA
Rfam family: Bacterial small subunit ribosomal RNA
Source: RNAcentral
CGCGCAGGCGGUCGUUUAAGUCGAAUGUGAAAGCCCCCGGCUCAACUGGGGAGGGUCAUUCGAUACUGAUCGACUUGAAGGCAGGAGAGGGAAGUGGAAUUCCGGGUGUAGUGGUGAAAUGCGUAGAUAUCCGGAGGAACACCAGUGGCGAAGGCGACUUCCUGGCCUGUUCUUGACGCUGAGGCGCGAAAGCUGGGGGAGCAAACG